CACGUAGGGUGCGAGCGUUGUCCGGAAUUAUUGGGCGUAAAGGGCUCGUAGGUGGUUUCUUAAGUCAGAGGUGAAAGGCUACGGCUCAACCGUAGUAAGCCUUUGAAACUGGGAAACUUGAGUGCAGGAGAGGAGAGUGGAAUUCCUAGUGUAGCGGUGAAAUGCGUAGAUAUUAGGAGGAACACCAGUUGCGAAGGCGGCUCUCUGGACUGUAACUGACACUGAGGCACGAAAGCGUGGGGAGCAAACAGGAUUAGAUACCCCCGUAGUCCCUGAGCGGG
RNAcentral lists this ribosomal RNA (281 nucleotides) under uncultured prokaryote. RNAcentral describes it as "partial 16S ribosomal RNA". It matches the Rfam family "Bacterial small subunit ribosomal RNA", at positions 524 to 803 of the family's 1533-position model. The record is from RNAcentral.